Molecule: ribosomal RNA, 500 nt
Filed under: uncultured bacterium
Lineage: Bacteria
Description: partial 16S ribosomal RNA
Rfam family: Bacterial small subunit ribosomal RNA
Source: RNAcentral
AUUGAACGCUGGCGGCAGGCCUAACACAUGCAAGUCGAGCGGAUGACGGGAGCUUGCUCCUUGAUUCAGCGGCGGACGGGUGAGUAAUGCCUAGGAAUCUGCCUGGUAGUGGGGGAAAACGUUUCGAAAGGAAAGCUAAUACCGAGUACGUCCUACGGGAGCAAGCAGGGGACCUUCGGGCCUUGCGCUAUCAGAUGAGCCUAGGUCGGAUUAGCUUGUUGGUGAGGUAAUGGCUCACCAAGGCGACGAUCCGUAACUGGUCUGAGAGGAUGAUCAGUCACACUGGAACUGAGACACGGUCCAGACUCCUACGGGAGGCAGCAGUGGGGAAUAUUGGACAAUGGGCGAAAGCCUGAUCCAGCCAUGCCGCGUGUGUGAAGAAGGUCUUCGGAUUGUAAAGCACUUUAAGUUGGGAGGAAGGGUUGUAGAUUAAUACUCUGCAAUUUUGACGUUACCGACAGAAUAAGCACCGGCUAACUCUGUGCCAGCCGCCGCAGUAA